Long non-coding RNA from Leopardus geoffroyi (Geoffroy's cat), 996 nucleotides. RefSeq lists it as uncharacterized. The record is from RefSeq and is a predicted model, not a curated record. NCBI's taxonomy places the organism in Eukaryota, Metazoa, Chordata, Mammalia, Carnivora, Felidae. The transcript is spliced from 6 exons.
AGCCCCCCCCUCCCCCCCCCCCCAGGCCACCGGGCACUUCUGGAGCCCAGGCUGGGGGCUGCACCUGUUCAGGAGGAGGCUGGAAACUUGGGCCUGCCCUCAGGCGGCGCUCACUCAAGCCCAGCGUCAGUGCUGCGCGGCCCGAGGGAUGGGCGCGCCAGCCCAAGGAACCGAGUUUUCUCCUGCGAGCCAGGACACGUUGGCGCCAGAAAGCCGAUUCGCCGAAACCCUCAGCACCGGGAAGCCACUGGAACGAUGGGGUAGAAAAGAUCGCGAUCUCCACUUCGCACGGGUAUUGACCACAUCGGGGAAACGUGUUUCACGUCCGCGGGCACGUCUCCUGGGUUGUCGAGUACAAUGCGCUUCUGGUGCCAGGGAUUUUCAAGAUGGAAAGCCUCUGCGGAGAGGUUGGCAGUAAACCUAGAACUGGUAGGGAUAGAGCGCGGAAAGGGACAGGACUCCACAGGCGGAUUUGAAAGGGAGCAACAACUGAGCCAGAGGACAGCACUGCCAUAUGCCCGGUUGAGGUCUGCUGUUGUCACCACCUUACCCUAAACAAUUUGGUGGCAGAGGCCAGAGCAAAGGGCACUUCUGACAGCUUUGGGGACACCAAGAAACAGGCAUAAAACUCUGCAAACACUGAGUUUACUGUCUUUCUCACCAUUUCCAAGGGCCAUGGGUACCUCUGUGAAAAAGGAAGAGAGAUCCACAUCACCCAUAAUGCCUGAACUGAAAAGUAGGAAUACAAGCGUUUAUAUUUAUAGAGGUGAGCCAAAGAACCUAGAAGGAAGAAGGAAAAAUUUUCUUCCCCUGCACAUGGCACUUGAAGCCCUAAGUCAUGUGGCUCCUGCUUGCCUUCAGUGUCCUCUCCAGACCUUCUCUGCUUUUCCCCUUUAUGCCUGGCUUUCUCCCAUUUAACCAUCAGGACUCACUACAGGCUCCACUUUCUUGGGGGGAAGCAAGUCUUUUCUGACCCCAACAGGUACAGGUAAGUGC